This 840-nucleotide ribosomal RNA is filed under the name uncultured bacterium. RNAcentral's name for it is "bacterial SSU rRNA". It matches the Rfam family "Bacterial small subunit ribosomal RNA", at positions 8 to 847 of the family's 1533-position model. The record is from RNAcentral.
AGAGUUUGAUCCUGGCUCAGAAUGAACGCUGGCGGCGUGCUUAACACAUGCAAGUCGAGCGAGAAAGGUCUUCGGACUGAGUAAGGCGGCGGACGGGUGAGUAACGCGUAGGAAUUUGCCUUUCAGUGAAGAAUAUCCUCGAGAAAUCGAGGUUAAUGCUGCAUAAGUCCUUAACGGGAGAAAGAUGGCCUCUUUGCUGUCGCUGAAAGAUAAGCCUGCGUACUAUUAGCUAGUUGGUAGGGUAAAGGCCUACCAAGGCGAUGAUGGUUAGCCGGCCUGAGAGGGUGUACGGCCACACUGGAACUGAGACACGGUCCAGACUCCUACGGGAGGCAGCAGUGAGGAAUAUUGCGCAAUGGGCGAAAGCCUGACGCAGCGACGCCGCGUGGAGGAUGAAGGUUUUCGGAUUGUAAACUCCUGUUAAGUGGGAAGAAACGACAAAAUAUAAUACAUUUUGUAACUGACGGUACCAUUAAAGAAAGCACCGGCUAACUUCGUGCCAGCAGCCGCGGUAAUACGAGGGGUGCAAGCGUUAUUCGGAAUUAUUGGGCGUAAAGGGUGCGUAGGCGGCGUAUUAAGUCAACUGUUAAAACCUCCAGCCUAACUGGAGAUCAGCAGUAGAUACUGGUAUGCUAGAGGAUGGAAGAGAGAAGUGGAAUUCUUGGAGUAGCGGUGGAAUGCGUAGAUCUCAAGAGGAACACCAAUGGCGAAGGCAGCUUCUUGGUCCAUAUCUGACGCUGAUGCACGAAAGCGUGGGGAGCAAACAGGAUUAGAUACCCUGGUAGUCCACGCCGUAAACGAUGAUCACUAGAUGUUAAUUCUGCUUGCAGAAUUAGUGUC